UACGUAGGGCGCAAGCGUUGUCCGGAUUCACUGGGCGUAAAGGGUGCGCAGGCGGGUUUGCAAGUCAGCGGUGAAAUCCCUCGGCUUAACCGAGGAACUGCCUGUCAGACUGGAUUGCUUGAGGCCGGGAGAGGCGAGUGGAAUUCCCAGUGUAGCGGUGAAAUGCGUAGAUAUUGGGAGGAACACCAGUGGCGAAGGCGGCUCGCUGGACCGGUUCUGACGCUGAGGCGCGAAAGCGUGGGGAGCAAACAGG
Molecule: ribosomal RNA, 253 nt
Filed under: uncultured bacterium
Lineage: Bacteria
Description: partial 16S ribosomal RNA
Rfam family: Bacterial small subunit ribosomal RNA
Source: RNAcentral